This 994-nucleotide ribosomal RNA is filed under the name uncultured Mycoplasma sp. RNAcentral's name for it is "bacterial SSU rRNA". It matches the Rfam family "Bacterial small subunit ribosomal RNA", at positions 400 to 1411 of the family's 1533-position model. The record is from RNAcentral. Lineage: Bacteria; Bacillati; Mycoplasmatota; Mollicutes; Mycoplasmatales; Mycoplasmataceae.
UGUGAACGAUGAAGGUCUUCUGAUUGUAAAGUUCUUUUAUUUAGGAAAAAAAGCUUGAUAGGAAAUGAUUAAGCCUUGAUUGUACUAAAUGAAUAAGUGACAGCUAACUAUGUGCCAGCAGCUGCGGUAAAACAUAGGUCACGAGCAUUAUCCGGAUUUAUUGGGCGUAAAGGAAGCGUAGGCGGACAAAUUGAUCUAUUGUUAAAGGCACUUGCUCAACGAGUUGUUUGUGAUAGAUAUCGUUUGUCUAGAAUUAGUUAGGAGAUACUGGAAUUCAAUGUGUAGCGGUGGAAUGCGUAGAUAUAUUGAGGAACACCGGAGGCUAAGGCGAGUAUCUAGGACAUAAUUGACGCUGAGGCUUGAAAGCGUGGGGAGCAAAUGGGAUUAGAUACCCCAGUAGUCCACGCCGUAAACGAUGGGUAUUAGGUAUUUGGUCUAGGACUGAGUGCUGUAGCUAACGCGUUAAAUACCCCGCCUGGGUAGUAUAUAUGCAAAUAUGAAACUCAAAGAAAUUGACGGGGACCUGAACAAGUGGUGGAGCAUGUUGCUUAAUUCGAUAAUACACGAAAAACCUCACCGAGGCUUGUAAUCUUUUGCAAAGCUAUAGAAAUAUAGUGGAGGUUAUCAGAAUGACAGGUGGUGCAUGGCUGUCGUCAGCUCGUGUCUUGAGAUGUUUGGUUAAGUCCCGUAACGAGCGCAACCCUUCUCUUUAGUUAAAUAGUUCUAAAGUGACUGAAUCGUAAGAUAUAGGAAGGCUGGGGCCAAGUCAAGUCAUCAUGCCCUUUAUGCCUCGGGCUGCAAACGUGCUACAAUGGUAGGUAUAAUGUGUCGCCAUCUAGAAAUGGGGAGCUAAUCACCGAAAACCUAUCCCAGUCCGGAUAAAAGGCUGCAAUUCGCCUAUUUGAAGUUGGAAUCACUAGUAAUCCUGUGUCAGCUAUAUCAGGGUGAAUGCGUUCCCAGGUCUUGUACACACCGCCCGUCAAACUAUGGGAGA